Molecule: long non-coding RNA, 556 nt
Filed under: Monodelphis domestica (gray short-tailed opossum)
Lineage: Eukaryota; Metazoa; Chordata; Mammalia; Didelphimorphia; Didelphidae
Description: lncRNA (ENSMODG00000042334.1)
Source: RNAcentral
GGGGUGGCUUUGCUCUCCUCCUCCUCCUCCCUCUCUGCUUCCUUCUCCUCCCCCUUCCCCUCCAAGUUCCAGGCAGCAACAGCGGUAGCAACCACCACCAAAGAAGCGGCGGGCUGUCUAAGCAACACUCUUUUGUCUCCAGCUCCUGGACAAUCCCCAAACCCCUUCCCCUCCCACCUUCGGUGAAAUCUGGCAGAUAGACACAAGAACAAGAGCUGGAAAUUUGUCUCCUAGUAGUCAUGGGGGAUGAAGAAGUGGCAAUUCUCAAAGACUGUCUAGCAGGAGGUCUGGAUUCCAACGAGAUCGUAAAAAAGGAGACGGGACCCACUUAUACAAAAACAUUUAUAGCGGUUCUUUUUGUGGUGGCAAAGAACUGGAAAUUGAAGGGAUACCCAUCUGUUGGGGAAUGGAAUGGCUGAACAAACUGUGGUACAUGUUAGUGGUGGAAUGCUAUUGUACUAUAAGAAAUGAUAAGCAGGAUGAUUUCAGAAAAAGCAGGAAAGAGCUAUAUGACAUGAUGCAGAGCGAAAUCAGCAGAACCAGGAGAUAGAUACAC